AUUGAACGCUGGCGGCAGGCUUAACACAUGCAAGUCGAGCGGGGGAAGGUAGCUUGCUACUGGACCUAGCGGCGGACGGGUGAGUAAUGCUUAGGAAUCUGCCUAUUAGUGGGGGACAACAUCUCGAAAGGGAUGCUAAUACCGCAUACGUCCUACGGGAGAAAGCAGGGGAUCUUCGGACCUUGCGCUAAUAGAUGAGCCUAAGUCGGAUUAGCUAGUUGGUGGGGUAAAGGCCUACCAAGGCGACGAUCUGUAGCGGGUCUGAGAGGAUGAUCCGCCACACUGGGACUGGGACACGGCCCGGACUCCUCCGGGAGGCAGCAGUGGGGAAUAUUGGACAAUGGGGGAACCCUGAUCCAGCCAUGCCGCGUGUGUGAAGAAGGCCUUAUGGUUGUAAAGCACUUUAAGCGAGGAGGAGGCUACUCUAGUUAAUACCUAGGGAUAGUGGACGUUACUCGCAGAAUAAGCACCGGCUAACUCUGUGCCAGCAGCCGCCGUAA
This 500-nucleotide ribosomal RNA is filed under the name uncultured bacterium. Its description in RNAcentral is "partial 16S ribosomal RNA". It matches the Rfam family "Bacterial small subunit ribosomal RNA", at positions 30 to 523 of the family's 1533-position model. The record is from RNAcentral.